RNAcentral lists this ribosomal RNA (430 nucleotides) under uncultured delta proteobacterium. RNAcentral's name for it is "bacterial SSU rRNA". It matches the Rfam family "Bacterial small subunit ribosomal RNA", at positions 958 to 1385 of the family's 1533-position model. The record is from RNAcentral. Lineage: Bacteria; Deltaproteobacteria.
AACGCGAAGAACCUUACCUGGGUUGGAACCCUCCAGAAGUCCGCAGAGAUGCGGAUGUGCCCGCAAGGGAAUUGGAUGUCCAGGUGCUGCAUGGCUGUCGUCAGCUCGUGUCGUGAGAUGUUGGGUUAAGUCCCGCAACGAGCGCAACCCUUGUCGUUAGUUGCCAGCGGUUCGGCCGGGCACUCUAACGAGACUGCCGGUGUUAAACCGGAGGAAGGUGGGGAUGACGUCAAGUCCUCAUGGCCCUUAUGCCCAGGGCUACACACGUGCUACAAUGACCGGUACAAAGGGUUGCAAACCUGUGAAGGCAAGCCAAUCCCAAAAAACCGGCCUCAGUUCAGAUUGAAGUCUGCAACUCGACUUCAUGAAGUCGGAAUCGCUAGUAAUCCCUGAUCAGCAGGCAGGGGUGAAUACGUUCCCGGGCCUUGUA